RNAcentral lists this ribosomal RNA (249 nucleotides) under uncultured bacterium. Its description in RNAcentral is "partial 16S ribosomal RNA". It matches the Rfam family "Bacterial small subunit ribosomal RNA", at positions 523 to 769 of the family's 1533-position model. The record is from RNAcentral.
AUACGGAGGAUGCGAGCGUUAUCCGGAUUUCAUUGGGUUUAAAGGGUGCGUAGGUGGUUUGAUAAGUCAGCGGUGAAAGUUUGCAGCUUAACUGUAAAAAUGCCGUUGAAACUGUCGGACUUGAGUGUAAAUGAGGUAGGCGGAAUGCGUGGUGUAGCGGUGAAAUGCAUAGAUAUCACGCAGAACUCCGAUUGCGAAGGCAGCUUACUAAGCUACAACUGACACUGAAGCACGAAAGCGGUGGGGAUC